CUGGUAAACAGAUCACCCUC
RNAcentral lists this non-coding RNA (20 nucleotides) under Rattus norvegicus (Norway rat). Lineage: Eukaryota; Metazoa; Chordata; Mammalia; Rodentia; Muridae. The record is from RNAcentral.